Cygnus atratus (black swan) is the source of this 1563-nucleotide long non-coding RNA. RefSeq lists it as uncharacterized. Lineage: Eukaryota; Metazoa; Chordata; Aves; Anseriformes; Anatidae. The transcript has 4 exons. The record is from RefSeq and is a predicted model, not a curated record.
CACAUGAGGCUGUCCGCCGAGGCGGGCCGGGAGGGGCCGCAGCAGGCCCCGCGGGCACCCGCACGGCGCGACCCGGCCUGGCCCGGCCGCCUCCGGGGCAUGCCAGUUAUGACAAUUUGCAGCCCAAUAGCAUAGCAAGGAAACACAGACUUAUAUCUGCAAACUGGACUUUGGCUGUCACUGGGGAAGCAUCUUCAUCACCAAAACUGAGAAGGACAAAACCUGGGCAGGACAGGAUCUGCCAGGUCUACAUCUCAAGGAUAAUGUUUGCUUGCAUCUGACAAAUUAUUCCAUUAACAAGAACAGUGUUAAUUCUGCUAAAGAAGAAGACACUGGUGGAUCUCCUGCAGAGUUCCCAGAGAAGAAUGGCUCAUGGGUGACCGGCAGGGGGGGAUAGACUACACUGAAUCAGUGUGAAAACAGCUUGAAUUGUGCUCCAGGACACAUGCAUAGAACAUUUCUUGCCUGCAGGAGUCCUCACCGUUGUGGACAGCUUCACUCAAGUUCUUUGCAUACAGAAGUAUUUCAGAGUUAGCCAUUACCCAAUGUGGAAUUUACCUGCUAAUGGAGGGUGUAGCCUGUGGUUCUCAGACGACAGUAAGUUAAUACCAGUUCCUCCUCUUCUACACCUAGCAAAUACUAGAUUGGCAUCAACUCUACAUUCAAUCUCAGGCCAUAAUUUCAAACUGAGUGUGUCACUUGGUAGUUCCCACUUUGCCAUAUAUAAAACAAACAAACAAACAAAACCAGAUAGUUUCACUGCUUUUUUUUUGUUGUUGAUUUGAGGAAUGUAAAGAACAUGCUGGAUAAGAAGGCAUCUUUUUCAGCUCGAGUGACUUGUUCAAAAGUCCUUGGUGAAACCAACAGAAAAACUACAGUUUUCCUGUUACCUCAGACCUGUAGACACAGGGACAGACAAGCAUAGUACAUCCCCCAACGUGGCUCCACGCAACUGUCACCUAUAAAAUAUCUAACUUUAUAAUACAAUAUACCUACCGUGUUCUUGGUAAACUUCAAACCACAUAUGAAUUUAAUUUAUAUGCUGUUUGAGACAGGCACAUGAGGAAGUCAGAUUAGCAAGUGAAAAACACUCAGAGGACUAUAUUCACAGUGUUUUGUUUUGUUGUGUUUUGUUUUGUUUUUCCUUGUCCUCUAAAACAUUAAUCUCCUUAUGAAAAUGCUAAAUGGCUUGUGACAGCAGCAUACUAGUUAUUUGAUGCAAAAAAUGGUGUUGUGUGCGCUAAGUUACAAACAGUGGAAGCCGCAAAUAAAUUUGAAGACAAAAAAAAGAGGAGAAGGAGAAACUAUGUGGUAAUAUCUAUCUGGCCAAGAACUAUCACCUUCCAGAAGUAUUCUUCAAAUAAUAGGCACUAGCCAUCCAGGAGUGAAAUGCAUUCAGUGAAGACUGGUACAUUUCAGUGGUCCUGAUCUCUUGUUAGGUUUGACUUCAGACUGUAGGAGCAAUGUGAGUUAGCAGGUGAUUUUUCUUCCUCUGGUUCAGUAUUGUAUCCUUAGUAGACUAUUUACAGAUGCUAAGGCAAACUGUCAAAAGAGCAAACGAUU